This is a long non-coding RNA of Stegostoma tigrinum, 1659 nucleotides long. RefSeq lists it as uncharacterized. The transcript has 3 exons. NCBI's taxonomy places the organism in Eukaryota, Metazoa, Chordata, Chondrichthyes, Orectolobiformes, Stegostomatidae. The record is from RefSeq and is a predicted model, not a curated record.
CAAUGAGACGAGACAAACACCUUUAACUGCCGAAGGUUCCCAAAGGAGAGUAAGGCAUGCUAAGGAUGUCUUUGACUAAAUGCGGCCAAAAUUGAGCAUUUUGCAAUUUUUCAGCUUGCUACUUAAACUGAGAUCAACACUGUGACCUUGAGAAAGCCAGAGUUUGCAGAUGUCUCCCCCUAUGUCCAGACAAGGGAUACAGCAUUGAAAACCAAUCAGAUCUGGCUUCCUUAGAAUUGGCCGAGGAAAAGAAAUCCAGAGGACAGUCAACAGUCCCCUCAUGAGUGUUGUCCGAAGACUUGCUCGGUAAAUACUGGAGAGAAUCAGACCAAGCUCAGUUGAGAUCUAUCUGAUCAUGAGAAAGGCCUACUGACAUCACCUCAAAUGGAAAAACCAACCACUUGUGAGCUGCCAGAGGAACUAGUGGAGGUGGCUACACUGCAACAUUUAAAAUGCAUCUGGAUGGGUACAUGAAUAGGAUGGGUUUACAGGGAUUUGGGCCAAAUGCUGACAAAUGGGACUAGAUUAAUUUAGGAUAUCCGGUUGGCAUAGACUGAAGGGUCUGUUUCUGUGCCAUACAACGCUAUGGUCGUGGUGGAGGGUUCAUUUUUGCACUGGAGACCUGUGACCAAUGGUGUUCCACAAGGAUCGGUGCUGGGACCACUGCAUUUUUGUCACUUAUGGAAAUUAUUUUGAUGUGACAAUGGGAAGUAUGAUCAAUAAGUUUGCAGAUGACACCAACAUUGGUGGUGUAGCAGACAGCAAAGAAGGUUACCUGUGAAUACAACAGGAGCUUGAUCAGAUGGGCAAAUGGGUUGAGAAGUACCCUAUAGAGUUUAGGUAAAUGUGAGGUGCUGCAUUCUGUUAGGGAAAAUCAGGGCACGACUUAUACACUUAAUGGGAAGGUCCUGGGGAGUGUUGCUGAACAAAGAGACCAUGGGGUGCAGGUUCAUAGUUUCCUGAAAUUGGAGUUGCCAGUAGAUAGGAUAGUGAAGAAGGCGUUUGGUACGCUUAUCUUUAUUGGUCAGUGCAGUGAGUAUAGGAGUUGCAAGGCCAUGUAACUGCUAUGCAAGACAUUGAUUAGACCACUUUUUUUAGUCUCCCUACUAUAGGAAAGGUGUUGUGAAACUUGAAAGGCUUUAGAAAAGAUGUAUAAGGAUGUUGCCAGGGUUGGAGGGUUUGAGCCAUAGGAAGAGGCUGAAUAGGCCAGGGCUAUUUUCCCUGAGCAUUGGAGGCUGAGGGGUGACCUGAUAGAUGUUUAUUAAUCAUGAGGGGCAUAGAUAGGGUGAAUAGCCAAGGUCUUUUCCCUGUGGUGGGGGAGUCCAAAACUAGAAGGCAUAGUUUAAGGUGAGAGGAGCAAGAUUUAAAAGGGAUGUAAGGGGCAACAUUUUCACGCAGAGGGUAGUGCAUUUAUGGAACGAGCUGCCGGAGGAACUGGUGGAGACUGGUACAAUAACAGCAUUUAAAAGGCAUCUGAAUGGCUAAAUGAUUCAGAAGUGUUUAGAGGGAUAUGGGCCAAAUACUGACAAAUAGGACUCGGUUUAUUUUGGAUAACUGGUUGGCGUGGACAAGUUGGACCGAAGGGUCUGUUUCUGUGCUAUAUGUUCCUUUGACUCUCAAUACCAAAUUCUGUCAGCGCCUAUGAAACCAUGUGAUUGU